AAUUUUGGACAAUGGGCGCAAGCCUGAUCCAGCCAUGCCGCGUGAGUGAAAAAGGCCUUCGGUUGGUAAAGCCCUUUCGGACGGAAAGAAAUCGAGCAGGCUAAUACCCUGCUCGUAUGACGGUACGGUCAUAAGAAGCACUGGCUAACUAGGUCCCAGCAUCCGUGGGAAUACGUAGGGUGCGAGCGUUAAUCGGUAUUACGGGGCGUAAAGCGUGCGCAGGCGGUUGAUUAAGACAGGCGUGAAAUCCCCGGGCUUAACCUGGGAACUGCGCUUGUGACUGGUCAGCUAGAGUACGGCAGAGGGGGGUGGAAUUCCACGUGUAGCAGUGAAAUGCGUAGAGAUGUGGAGGAACACCGAUGGCGAAGGCAGCCCCCUGGGCCGAUACUGACGCUCAUGCACGAAAGCGUGGGUAGCAAACAGG
This 424-nucleotide ribosomal RNA is filed under the name uncultured bacterium. RNAcentral describes it as "partial 16S ribosomal RNA". It matches the Rfam family "Bacterial small subunit ribosomal RNA", at positions 360 to 776 of the family's 1533-position model. The record is from RNAcentral.